AGUAUUUUUAAAAUUUAAUAAGUAAUAUUUUGUAUAUUUUGUAAUGAAAAAAAAAAUCUAAUAUGAAGGCUUUUUAUCAACAGAUGUGGAUUAAAGAGUAAAAAAUACUUUAAAGCUUUAGUUUUUAUCCUGAACUAAAGCUUGGAUGUCUUUGUUGAGCUUUGUCCUUCUGAUCCCGAUCCUAGAUUCUAUCCUGAACUGUGAGUUGAUUUUUUUUUUUUAAUGAUGUCGUGUGUUGAAAUUAUCUCUAUUUUUAUGAUGUGAUGUGUUGAUAUUAUCUCCUGGAAUCAAAUAGCUGCAGUGGCUUUAAAGUUCAAGUUAAUGGAUAUGACGCUACCCUCAAUAACGCUCUUAUCGAGAGCAGGUUGAGAGAAUGUUUAUCUUCAUGUGGAGAGAUCACGCGUGUUGCUGUUGGCGUAUGCUCUGCUUCCGUGUUUAUCUUGGGAGAAGACGUAGAAGAGAAGGCGAAGGCCGCGUUGAACCUAUGUAGACACCGAUUUAAAAUGGUACCUAAAAUUAUGGAAGACCCUUGUCGCCAUUACCGUAUUUUUUAUGCCUAAAUACUAAGAUGACUGCCGAUUGAAACCUCACCAAGAAGCUCUUGUUUGGUGUUACAAAGCUCUCGAUGAACCUCUUUGGUGUUUUUAACUUGUGAUACAUACAACAACCAAACCGUUUUUUUUCUUUUGUUUUUCGACUGGAUUUUAGAAACGAUCUCAAUAAUCAUUAUCUGCCUUCUGUAUUACUAUUACCCACGAAUGAUAAUUAAGUUAUAAACAGUUCCUCACUUUUACAGUCUAAUUAUGUAAGAAUGUAGUCCCUCUUGAUACAAAUGUUUGAUGCUUUAACUAUUUCACACAUAUUAAUUUAUUUUUCACUUUUUGAUUUUACCAAUAAAAGUUUAUGUACUAUUCAUAUUUUUAUAUUUUAUUUGAUGUUUUAGUUUUUAAAACAGGUGUAUCAAACAUCAAUCUUUCAAAUCCCCUUCUUAUUAUAUGAGGAAAACUUUUAUAAAUAAACAUUUGUCUCAUGUGUGAUUCACAACUUUGUCAUUUUCUAGAUGUCAACGCCAUAUUCCACCUCACAACCUUUUUUAAAUAAACCUCUUUGGCCUAGAUUAAUUACAUUUCAUGAACGUGUUCACUAAAUUUAGAAUAUUGAAACUUUUGAUACAUCCAUGUCACAAUACUAUUGUAUAAAAUGUAAACUCUAUGGAUAAUAUAAUUUCUAUGUCAUGUUAAGU
Long non-coding RNA from Brassica napus (rape), 1243 nucleotides. RefSeq lists it as uncharacterized. The record is from RefSeq and is a predicted model, not a curated record. NCBI's taxonomy places the organism in Eukaryota, Viridiplantae, Streptophyta, Magnoliopsida, Brassicales, Brassicaceae. The transcript has 3 exons.